UCCCUGGUGACUCAGAGGUUAAAGCAUCUGCCUGGAAUGCAGAAGACCUGGGUUCGAUCCCUGGGUGAGGAU
Molecule: transfer RNA, 72 nt
Filed under: Ovis aries (sheep)
Lineage: Eukaryota; Metazoa; Chordata; Mammalia; Artiodactyla; Bovidae
Rfam family: tRNA
About the family: Transfer RNA (tRNA) molecules are approximately 80 nucleotides in length. Their secondary structure includes four short double-helical elements and three loops (D, anti-codon, and T loops).
Source: Rfam by way of RNAcentral